AGUGGCAGACGGGUGAGUAAUGCAUAGGAAUCUACCUAGUAGUAUGGGAUAGCCACUAGAAAUGGUGGGUAAUACUGUAUAAUCCCUGCGGGGGAAAGAUUUAUCGCUAUUAGAUGAGCCUAUGUUAGAUUAGCUAGUUGGUAGGGUAAAGGCCUACCAAGGCAGUGAUCUAUAGCUGGUCUGAGAGGAUGAUCAGCCACACUGGAACUGAGAUACGGUCCAGACUCCUACGGGAGGCAGCAGUGGGGAAUAUUGGACAAUGGGCGCAAGCCUGAUCCAGCUAUGCCGCGUGAGUGAGGAAGGCCUUAGGGUUGUAAAACUCUUUCAGUGGGGAAGAUAAUGACGGUACCCACAGAAGAAGUCCCGGCAAACUCCGUGCCAGCAGCCGCGGUAAUACGGAGGGGGCAAGCGUUGUUCGGAAUUAUUGGGCGUAAAGGGCAUGUAGGCGGUUCGGUAAGUUAAAG
RNAcentral lists this ribosomal RNA (464 nucleotides) under Anaplasma platys. RNAcentral describes it as "bacterial SSU rRNA". It matches the Rfam family "Bacterial small subunit ribosomal RNA", at positions 94 to 593 of the family's 1533-position model. Lineage: Bacteria; Pseudomonadati; Pseudomonadota; Alphaproteobacteria; Rickettsiales; Anaplasmataceae. The record is from RNAcentral.